ACGUUAGCGGCGGACGGGUGAGUAACACGUGGGCAACCUACCCUAUAGUUUGGGAUAACUCCGGGAAACCGGGGCUAAUACCGAAUAAUCUCUUUUGCUUCAUGGUGAAAGACUGAAAGACGGUUUCGGCUGUCGCUAUAGGAUGGGCCCGCGGCGCAUUAGCUAGUUGGUGAGGUAACGGCUCACCAAGGCGACGAUGCGUAGCCGACCUGAGAGGGUGAUCGGCCACACUGGGACUGAGACACGGCCCAGACUCCUACGGGAGGCAGCAGUAGGGAAUCUUCCACAAUGGGCGAAAGCCUGAUGGAGCAACGCCGCGUGAGUGAAGAAGGUUUUCGGAUCGUAAAACUCUGUUGUAAGGGAAGAACAAGUACAGUAGUAACUGGCUGUACCUUGACGGUACCUUAUUAGAAAGCCACGGCUAACUACGUGCCAGCAGCCGCGGUAAUACGUAGGUGGCAAGCGUUGUCCGGAAUUAUUGGGCGUAAAGCGCGCGCAGGCGGUCCUUUAAGUCUGAUGUGAAAGCCCACGGCUCAACCGUGGAGGGUCAUUGGAAACUGGGGGACUUGAGUGCAGAAGAGGAAAGUGGAAUUCCAAGUGUAGCGGUGAAAUGCGUAGAGAUUUGGAGGAACACCAGUGGCGAAGGCGACUUUCUGGUCUGUAACUGACGCUGAGGCGCGAAAGCGUGGGGAGCAAACA
RNAcentral lists this ribosomal RNA (699 nucleotides) under Lysinibacillus sp. I11B-02106. RNAcentral's name for it is "bacterial SSU rRNA". It matches the Rfam family "Bacterial small subunit ribosomal RNA", at positions 89 to 774 of the family's 1533-position model. Lineage: Bacteria; Bacillati; Bacillota; Bacilli; Caryophanales; Bacillaceae. The record is from RNAcentral.